RNAcentral lists this ribosomal RNA (460 nucleotides) under uncultured bacterium. Its description in RNAcentral is "partial 16S ribosomal RNA". It matches the Rfam family "Bacterial small subunit ribosomal RNA", at positions 338 to 795 of the family's 1533-position model. The record is from RNAcentral.
CCUACGGGAGGCAGCAGUGAGGAAUAUUGGUCAAUGGACGAGAGUCUGAACCAGCCAAGUAGCGUGAAGGAUGACUGCCCUAUGGGUUGUAAACUUCUUUUAUAUGGGAAUAAAAUGUUCCACGUGUGGGAUUUUGUAUGUACCAUAUGAAUAAGGAUCGGCUAACUCCGUGCCAGCAGCCGCGGUAAUACGGAGGAUCCGAGCGUUAUCCGGAUUUAUUGGGUUUAAAGGGAGCGUAGGUGGAUUGUUAAGUCAGUUGUGAAAGUUUGCGGCUCAACCGUAAAAUUGCAGUUGAUACUGGCAGUCUUGAGUACAGUAGAGGUAGGCGGAAUGCGUGGUGUAGCGGUGAAAUGCUUAGAUAUCACGAAGAACUCCGAUUGCGAAGGCAGUUCACUGGACUGCAACUGACACUGAGGCUCGAAAGUGUGGGUAUCAAACAGGAUUAGAUACCCCAGUAGUC